This is a long non-coding RNA of Dermochelys coriacea (leatherback sea turtle), 248 nucleotides long. RefSeq lists it as uncharacterized. The transcript is spliced from 3 exons. Lineage: Eukaryota; Metazoa; Chordata; Testudines; Dermochelyidae. The record is from RefSeq and is a predicted model, not a curated record.
UAAACAGCAUGGCGUAGAGUGGAAGAAUUAUUUCUCAUGUCUCACAACACUUCUGCUAACACAUUCCAGAAUGAUAUUUGCUUUUUUUGCAAUAGUGUUGCACUGUUGCCUCAUAUUUAUCUUGUGAUCCACUAUGCCCCCCAGACACUUUUCUACAUUGCUCCUUCCUAGGCAGUCAUUUCCCAUUUUGUAUGUGUGCAACUAAUUGCUCCUUCCUAAAUGGAGUACUUUGCAUUUGUUCUUAUUGA